UACGGGGGGGGCAAGCGUUGUUCGGAAUUACUGGGCGUAAAGGGCGCUUAGGCGGCCUGCUAAGUCGGAUGUGAAAUCCCUCGGCUCAACCGAGGAACUGCAUCCGAUACUGGCGGGCUUGAAUCCGGGAGAGGGAUGUGGAAUUCCAGGUGUAGCGGUGAAAUGCGUAGAUAUCUGGAGGAACACCGGUGGCGAAGGCGGCAUCCUGGACCGGUAUUGACGCUGAGGCGCGAAAGCUAGGGGAGCAAACGGG
This 253-nucleotide ribosomal RNA is filed under the name uncultured bacterium. RNAcentral describes it as "partial 16S ribosomal RNA". It matches the Rfam family "Bacterial small subunit ribosomal RNA", at positions 524 to 776 of the family's 1533-position model. The record is from RNAcentral.